This 461-nucleotide ribosomal RNA is filed under the name uncultured bacterium. RNAcentral's name for it is "partial 16S ribosomal RNA". It matches the Rfam family "Bacterial small subunit ribosomal RNA", at positions 28 to 505 of the family's 1533-position model. The record is from RNAcentral.
GAUGAACGCUGACAGAAUGCUUAACACAUGCAAGUCUUUGGCGAAGCUGUGCUCGCCCAGCCUAGCCAAGGCGGACGGGUGAGUAACGCGUAAGGAACUUGCCCUGCAGUCAGGGAUAACAGACGGAAACGACUGAUAAGACCUGGUAAAGUCAGGCGGACUCAUGUCCAGCCUGAUGAAAAGAGAUGCUGCAGGAGAGCCUUGCGUCCUAUUAGCUUGUUGGUGGGGUAACGGCCCACCAAGGCGAUGAUAGGUAGCCGGCCUGAGAGGGUGGACGGCCACAAGGGGACUGAGAUACGGCCCUUACUCCUACGGGAGGCAGCAGUGGGGAAUAUUGGACAAUGGGGGCAACCCUGAUCCAGCAAUUCUGCGUGCACGAUGAAGGUUUUCGGAUUGUAAAGUGCUUUCAGCAGGGAAGAAAAAAAUGACGGUACCUGCAGAAGAAGCGACGGCUAAAUACG